CUUACACCAUAAACGCCAGGGCACUACGAGCUUUAGCUUAAAACCCAAAGGACUUGACGGUGUCCUAUCCAACUAGAGGAGCCUGUUUUAUAAUCGAUAAUCCACGAUAUACCUAACCAUUUUUUGUUAAUCAGCCUGUAUACCUCCGUCGUAAGCUUACCGUAUGAAUAUAUAACAGUAGGCCCAAAGACUUAAACGCCACAACGUCAGGUCAAGGUGCAGCUUAUAAAAUGGAAACAAUGGGCUACAAUUUCUAAUCUAGAACAAACGAAACACUACAUGAAACAUAGUCAUGAAGGAGGAUUUAGCAGUAAGUAAUAAAUAGAGAGUUUUACUAAAUUUGGCCCUAGGACGUGUACAAACCGCCCGUCACCCUCUUCAAUAGCCUUUAAUUAUAAUAUAUAAUACAUAUUUUGCGUUUUAGAAGAGGUAAGUCGUAACAUGGUAAGUAUACUGGAAAGUGUGCUUGGAAACAAAAUGUAACUUAAUUAAAGUCUCUCGCUUACACCGAGAAAAUAUCCGUGAAAUCCUGAUCAUUUUGAGCCUAAAAUCUAGCUUUUUUACUACUACAUAUUUACACCCUUUAAUAUUAUCUUAAUAAAACAUUUUAACUUUACAGUAGAGGUGAUCAAAAAAUAUAUAAGCGCUUUAGAAAUAGUACCGCAAGGGAAAGAUGAAAUAGCAAUGAAAUAACUUAAAGC
Molecule: ribosomal RNA, 701 nt
Filed under: Leptomantis bimaculatus (Asiatic tree frog)
Lineage: Eukaryota; Metazoa; Chordata; Amphibia; Anura; Rhacophoridae
Description: Rhacophorus bimaculatus (Asiatic tree frog) partial 12S ribosomal RNA
Rfam family: Bacterial small subunit ribosomal RNA (bases 1-482)
Source: RNAcentral